RNAcentral lists this ribosomal RNA (1458 nucleotides) under Cyanobium sp. JJ22-9. RNAcentral's name for it is "bacterial SSU rRNA". It matches the Rfam family "Bacterial small subunit ribosomal RNA". RNAcentral also lists the same sequence under 2 other names. Lineage: Bacteria; Bacillati; Cyanobacteriota; Cyanophyceae; Synechococcales; Prochlorococcaceae. The record is from RNAcentral.
GAUGAACGCUGGCGGCGUGCUUAACACAUGCAAGUCGAACGAGCCUUCGGGCUAGUGGCGGACGGGUGAGUAACGCGUGGGAAUCUGCCCUCAGGAGGGGGAUAACGGCCGGAAACGGCCGCUAAUACCCCAUAUGCCGAGAGGUGAAAUGAAUUUCGCCUGAGGAUGAGCCCGCGUCUGAUUAGCUAGUUGGUGGGGUAAUGGCCCACCAAGGCGACGAUCAGUAGCUGGUCUGAGAGGAUGAUCAGCCACACUGGGACUGAGACACGGCCCAGACUCCUACGGGAGGCAGCAGUGGGGAAUUUUCCGCAAUGGGCGAAAGCCUGACGGAGCAACGCCGCGUGAGGGAUGAAGGCCUCUGGGCUGUAAACCUCUUUUCUCAAGGAAGAAGACAUGACGGUACUUGAGGAAUAAGCCACGGCUAAUUCCGUGCCAGCAGCCGCGGUAAUACGGGAGUGGCAAGCGUUAUCCGGAAUUAUUGGGCGUAAAGCGUCCGCAGGCGGCCUUGUAAGUCUGUCGUUAAAGCGUGGAGCUUAACUCCAUUUCAGCGAUGGAAACUACAAGGCUUGAGUGUGGUAGGGGCAGAGGGAAUUCCCGGUGUAGCGGUGAAAUGCGUAGAUAUCGGGAAGAACACCAGUGGCGAAGGCGCUCUGCUGGGCCAUAACUGACGCUCAUGGACGAAAGCCAGGGGAGCGAAAGGGAUUAGAUACCCCUGUAGUCCUGGCCGUAAACGAUGAACACUAGGUGUCGGGGGAAUCGACCCCCUCGGUGUCGUAGCUAACGCGUUAAGUGUUCCGCCUGGGGAGUACGCACGCAAGUGUGAAACUCAAAGGAAUUGACGGGGGCCCGCACAAGCGGUGGAGUAUGUGGUUUAAUUCGAUGCAACGCGAAGAACCUUACCAGGGUUUGACAUCCUGCGAAUCCCUUGGAAACGAGGGAGUGCCUUCGGGAGCGCAGAGACAGGUGGUGCAUGGCUGUCGUCAGCUCGUGUCGUGAGAUGUUGGGUUAAGUCCCGCAACGAGCGCAACCCACGUCUUUAGUUGCCAGCAUUCAGUUGGGCACUCUAGAGAGACCGCCGGUGAUAAACCGGAGGAAGGUGUGGAUGACGUCAAGUCAUCAUGCCCCUUACAUCCUGGGCUACACACGUACUACAAUGCUACGGACAAAGGGUUGCAAGCUCGCGAGAGUUAGCUAAUCCCAUAAACCGUGGCUCAGUUCAGAUCGUAGGCUGCAACUCGCCUACGUGAAGGAGGAAUCGCUAGUAAUCGCAGGUCAGCAUACUGCGGUGAAUACGUUCCCGGGCCUUGUACACACCGCCCGUCACACCAUGGAAGUUGGCCAUGCCCGAAGUCGUUACUCCAACCCUUGUGGAGGAGGACGCCGAAGGUGGGGCUGAUGACUGGGGUGAAGUCGUAACAAGGUAGCCGUACCGGAAGGUGCGGCUGGAUCACCUCCUAA